This 870-nucleotide ribosomal RNA is filed under the name Triticum aestivum (bread wheat). RNAcentral describes it as "partial small subunit ribosomal RNA". Lineage: Eukaryota; Viridiplantae; Streptophyta; Magnoliopsida; Poales; Poaceae. The record is from RNAcentral.
ACAAACAGACCAUGGAAAGGUGCUAGCAUUCCCUGUGACUCCUCUGACCGUCAGCUUUUCGCCUCCUGCACAAAGAUUACCAUGAGAAACGGGAGCAAAACAUCCUUCUGGAUUGAUAAAUGGCUUGAUGGCAAUGCCACAAAAGAUUGUUUCCCAGCUCUCUUUGCCCUUUCUCGCUCAAAAUCGAGCUCGGUCAGGCAUGCUCUACAUGAAGAUAGAUGGAUGAGAGGCCUUAACAGGAUGGAUGGAGCUGCUGAAUUGGAGGAAUUCCUAUGCUUAUGGACGAAGGUGCAGGACAUCCUCGAUAACACGAAUGAGGACUUGAUUGAAUGGACUCUCACCACAAACAAUGUUUACUCAGCCAAAUCGGCUUAUGACAUCCAAUUGAAGACAAGAAUCCCAAUCCCGGCCCUGGCUAAUGUUUGGAAGAUCAAGGCUGAAGGCAAAGUAAAAAAUUUCAUGUGGAAGCUCUUGCAGAAUCGGCUAUGGACUGUUGACCGGCUCCUUCGUAGAAACUGGGGUCAUCAUGAUAGCUGCUGCAACUGUGACCAGGUUAUUGAAUCAGCUAUACACCUCAUUCUCAGAUGUCCCUACGCAAAAUAUGUCUGGCACUCCUUCAGCUCCACCAACCAGCUUGUUGCUGGAUAUGCUCAUGAGGCCAGCUCCAUUGUGGGAUGGUGGGAGAAUGUGUUUUCCCAUCAUCGAAAGAAGGAAGAAGCUUUCCAGAUUUGCACCUCUUCGGUUUACAUUGCGUGGAAUCUUUGGAACGAGAGAAAUCAUCGUCUCUCUCAACAUGAGAGCCUGCCUAUUCAACGGCUUUGUAACAUUAUUUCUGAUGAAAUCUGCCUCCUUAAGGAGGCAUGGGAGUAG